GACGAACGCUGGCGGCGUGCCUAAUACAUGCAAGUAGAACGCACAGUUUAUACCGUAGCUUGCUACACCAUAGACUGUGAGUUGCGAACGGGUGAGUAACGCGUAGGUAACCUGCCUGGUAGCGGGGGAUAACUAUUGGAAACGAUAGCUAAUACCGCAUAAUAUUAAUUAUUGCAUGAUAAUUAAUUGAAAGGUGCAAUUGCACCACUACCAGAUGGCCCUGCGUUGUAUUAGCUAGUAGGUGAGGUAACGGCUCACCUAGGCGACGAUACAUAGCCGACCUGAGAGGGUGAUCGGCCAAACUGGGACUGAGACACGGCCCAGACUCCUACGGGAGGCAGCAGUAGGGAAUCUUCGGCAAUGGACGAAAGUCUGACCGAGCAACGCCGCGGGAGUGAAGAAGGUUUUCGGAUCGUAAAGCUCUGUUGUAAGAGAAGAACGGGUGUGAGAGUGGAAAGUUCACACUGUGACGGUAUCUGACCAGAAAGGGACGGCUAACUACGUG
RNAcentral lists this ribosomal RNA (505 nucleotides) under uncultured bacterium. RNAcentral's name for it is "partial 16S ribosomal RNA". It matches the Rfam family "Bacterial small subunit ribosomal RNA", at positions 28 to 507 of the family's 1533-position model. The record is from RNAcentral.